Molecule: ribosomal RNA, 1123 nt
Filed under: Escherichia sp.
Lineage: Bacteria; Pseudomonadati; Pseudomonadota; Gammaproteobacteria; Enterobacterales; Enterobacteriaceae
Description: bacterial SSU rRNA
Rfam family: Bacterial small subunit ribosomal RNA
Source: RNAcentral
UGCAGUCGAACGGUAACAGGAAGCAGCUUGCUGCUUUGCUGACGAGUGGCGGACGGGUGAGUAAUGUCUGGGAAACUGCCUGAUGGAGGGGGAUAACUACUGGAAACGGUAGCUAAUACCGCAUAACGUCGCAAGACCAAAGAGGGGGACCUUCGGGCCUCUUGCCAUCGGAUGUGCCCAGAUGGGAUUAGCUUGUUGGUGGGGUAACGGCUCACCAAGGCGACGAUCCCUAGCUGGUCUGAGAGGAUGACCAGCCACACUGGAACUGAGACACGGUCCAGACUCCUACGGGAGGCAGCAGUGGGGAAUAUUGCACAAUGGGCGCAAGCCUGAUGCAGCCAUGCCGCGUGUAUGAAGAAGGCCUUCGGGUUGUAAAGUACUUUCAGCGGGGAGGAAGGGAGUAAAGUUAAUACCUUUGCUCAUUGACGUUACCCGCAGAAGAAGCACCGGCUAACUCCGUGCCAGCAGCCGCGGUAAUACGGAGGGUGCAAGCGUUAAUCGGAAUUACUGGGCGUAAAGCGCACGCAGGCGGUUUGUUAAGUCAGAUGUGAAAUCCCCGGGCUCAACCUGGGAACUGCAUCUGAUACUGGCAAGCUUGAGUCUCGUAGAGGGGGGUAGAAUUCCAGGUGUAGCGGUGAAAUGCGUAGAGAUCUGGAGGAAUACCGGUGGCGAAAGCGGCCCCCUGGACGAAGACUGACGCUCAGGUGCGAAAGCGUGGGGAGCAAACAGGAUUAGAUACCCUGGUAGUCCACGCCGUAAACGAUGUCGACUUGGAGGUUGUGCCCUUGAGGCGUGGCUUCCGGAGCUAACGCGUUAAGUCGACCGCCUGGGGAGUACGGCCGCAAGGUUAAAACUCAAAUGAAUUGACGGGGGCCCGCACAAGCGGUGGAGCAUGUGGUUUAAUUCGAUGCAACGCGAAGAACCUUACCUGGUCUUGACAUCCACGGAAGUUUUCAGAGAUGAGAAUGUGCCUUCGGGAACCGUGAGACAGGUGCUGCAUGGCUGUCGUCAGCUCGUGUUGUGAAAUGUUUGGGUUAAGUCCCGCAACGAGCGCAACCCUUAUCCUUUGUUGCCAGCGGUCCGGCCGGGAACUCAAAGGAGACUGCCAGUGAUAAACUGGAGG